This is a long non-coding RNA of Symphalangus syndactylus (siamang), 529 nucleotides long. RefSeq lists it as uncharacterized. The record is from RefSeq and is a predicted model, not a curated record. NCBI's taxonomy places the organism in Eukaryota, Metazoa, Chordata, Mammalia, Primates, Hylobatidae.
AUGACAAAUGGCUCUUGAUAACCUUCCCAGGUCAAUCCUGGGAGAGUAGACAAAAGCAAAGAAAACAAAUUGACUACAGACAUUGACAUUCAUCCUACUUGAAGAGAGAACCAGUCUGCGUGAAAAACAGAGUAAACUUCAAAAGAAUCCAGCAAUUGCCCUGAACUGACCCAUAAAGAGAAAUUAGAAAUCGAAAGUUGAAAAUUAGGAAGCUCAAGAGUGAAUCUGAGGACUGAUGUGCUCCACACAUUACCUUCAAGACUGUUUAGUUUAAACAAAGGAUAGCUCACUUCAUUAAAUGGAUAAUCUUUGGAUUCUGCUUCAUUAGUAGUCAAUCUCAAUGAAUCUGUUCCACAUAUUACCUUCAAGAUUAAUUUACUUUUUCUUCUCCAGGACACAGUGUUUAGAAAAACCAGAUAGAAAAGCCACCAAGCUUACCAUUUCAACCAAGGAUAAAUAUAAGAACAUCCCAGCAGUGACUGUGAAGAUCCAGUCUUGAACACAUGGAUCAGCUGACACGGAAAGGCCA